Molecule: long non-coding RNA, 630 nt
Organism: Eufriesea mexicana
Lineage: Eukaryota; Metazoa; Arthropoda; Insecta; Hymenoptera; Apidae
Exons: 3
Source: RefSeq, a predicted model, not a curated record
GUUGCUGGUGACUUCAGCCUCAUCUCUGAUUGGUUAGCAGGAGACCGCAGAACGCCACAACGCCUUCACGCAUGUUUUCUACUCGCGAAAUAUAGUACCUAGCCUCUUGUCAUGCGACAUUUAUUUUAUUGAUUUUACAAAUUUCGACAGGCGUAGCAAGAAAAUUGUCUAUACAUUGAAGAGAAAUGAGAUAUUGAUCACUCGAUAGUUGCGUAAGUGGCCAUUUACCCUGCCGUUUUACUCAUUUCUGGGAACGAAUCGAUAGCUUCGUGAGAAUCUACAUUGCCAUCUACAUUGCCAAAAAUUUGCAGAACAAGGUGCUAAGGAAGGAUGAGAGUCGCCGUGAGAGAGCGCUUGUGUCGCCCGACCGCUCACUUUUUCUAAAAUUGGUCACAGACGGUUGGACCUGGCCUAAGGAAAGCGGUAAAUCGCGACGAUCCUAUCCUCUGGAGGACUUGCAGGGUGGGGCAGGGACUAUUGCCACUGGGGCCAACUCAUCUGUAUGAUGUGCACGCGAAACAAUUGCGUAGUCCUUAGAGGGAGCUCUAGAAUCAUUUUAUCACCGCUACUGUCUUGAACAGAAGAAAUAAUCGUAUUCGACUUUAUGGCUAGAAUGACGUUUUAAGUAGG